This 1692-nucleotide long non-coding RNA is filed under the name Mus musculus (house mouse). RNAcentral's name for it is "predicted gene, 50107". Lineage: Eukaryota; Metazoa; Chordata; Mammalia; Rodentia; Muridae. The record is from RNAcentral.
GAGGGUAUGCCAGGUACCUCAACUGCUACAGCCCCUGCUGUUGAGCUAUUGUUUAGGAAGUUCCCCCCAGAAGGCAGGCAGUGUGGCCUGUGGUUGGGAAUUGUGUCUCUGAUGUUCUGUGGUUCUUGGAACAGCAUCAUGGGAAGCGGAUGGCGUAGCUUCUUACUCCAAGGAUUUUCAGGGAGGUGGCGGGGGGGGGGAACAUUUACAGAAUCUUGAAAACCAUGAGGUAGGGGAUGCAGUUCACUGACGGAACUCUUGCUUUACAAAGCCCUGUCAUUCCAAAUAUCCCUGCUCCAGAUGAUUUUAUCAUCUUGGGCCUUUCUCUGGAGUGAUAGAGCGUGGCCAUCCUGAUGGGUAAAGUCACAAGGCCCUUCUUCCCGUCUGAGGGUAAACUGGUUAGCAUGGGUUGUCAGUGCUCUGUGUAUAUAACAUAAUUUCUGUUCAGGGCAAUCCUGUCACCUGAAGGCCCACCUUCUGAUAGAGGUAAGCCUUCUCUGGUGACUCUGUGUGUGUGCUCACUGGGAUAAGACGACAGGUGUCCAGUGGGCUCCCUUUGUAGUCACCAUGUUGUCUCUACCUCAUGUUCUCUCAGUCCUCACUUUUGCCGCCUUCCCUUUUGUUAGCCAUGGACAUGAGACUUCUGUGCUCGUUCUUCCUACACAUCACCAUCCGCACGGACAGCUGGGAGCUGUCUUUUUAAACAUCAAACGCCCCUUCAUUUUCUUGCCAGCAACCACAGUUUACUUCCUGUAUGUCUGAAGGGGUCAAUUUUAGGUAUCCCAUAUAAGUGGAAUAAUUACUUUUGUGUGAUUGACUCAUUUCAUUUAGCUAAGUUGCAUUCAUAUUUUACCUUGGGUCUGCAUUUCCAUAUUUUUAAGCCUAAUAAAGUUCCAUCCUGUGUAUGCCCUCCAUUUUGUUCAUCUACCAUUGCUGGAAUUUUGGUUCUGCCUGCCUUUUGGCUAUCAUGGGUAAUGUGGUCAUGAACAUGAAUGAGUGUGCGAGUAUUUGGGCUCUGCUUUCCGGGCGUUUGACACAGUCUCAGGAGUAGAUGUCCACACCAUGUUGGUUAAAGAACCAUUGUCCUGUUUUUCCACAAUAGCACUGCUCUACUCAGGGUUUCCAGAUUCUCCACAUCCUGGGAUUUGAGUGUUUGGUUGUUUUGUGGCAAGAGACCAGAGCUUUGUAAACAGACAAGCACUCUAUCCCUGAGCUCCACUUACAGCAUCAGUUUUCUGUGUGGUUGGUUUUUAAAUUGUCCUUGUAUGUGAGAUAACAAUUUACUGUAUAAAUUGCAUUUUCUAGUGCUUAGUGAUGGUGAACAUCUUUUCAUGGAUUUGACAUUUGUGUGUUUUCUUUGGAGAAAUAUCUUUUAAAUUCUUUGCCCACUUCUGAAUCUAGUUUAUGUGCAUAUACUUUAUGUAUAAGUUGUUAAAAGUACUUCUGUAUCUGGCAAUAUCAUAUAAUUUUAUGCAUGUUAACAUAAAUGUUUCUUACUUUAAAAUUUUAAAGUUGGGCCAGAGAGAUGGCUCAGCAGGUAAAGAAAGUUGUUUGUCACCAAGCCUGACAACCUGAGUUCAGCCCCAGACCCCACAUGGUGUAAGAAGAGAAGUGACUCCUUGCAGCUUCCCUUAACCCCACACUAGCUGUGGUGUUGUACACACAUACAAUAAAGAGAUUAAUUUAAAAAAA